Apis florea (little honeybee) is the source of this 2334-nucleotide long non-coding RNA. RefSeq lists it as uncharacterized. The record is from RefSeq and is a predicted model, not a curated record. NCBI's taxonomy places the organism in Eukaryota, Metazoa, Arthropoda, Insecta, Hymenoptera, Apidae.
GUAAUAUUCGAAAACGAGGAUAUAGCGGUUGCGUAGCGAUGCCGGACCGCACCCCGCAACCUCCAGCCAAUCGUGAGCUCCUUCUACACGCUUGUUCACGGGCCUUAAAGCUUUUGGAAAGGCGCUUGCGCUAUUUCUGGGAUGCAGACGGUGCCGCGAGGCUCGAAAAUCAGGGCCGUCUUUUCGUUCUCGACGUUCCAGCCAGCUCUUUCUCCCAUCUUUAUCUUUUUAAACGAUCUUGGACAGAAUAAUUUUGGAGGUUAUAUAGAUCGAUUGGAAUAGAUCGUUUCGAAUAAUUUUGGAGAUUAAAUUAAUUCGUCCAUGUAAAUUUACGGAAUUGGCGAGAGUUUCGAAGACUUGUGUGAUAUUAUAAAUUGCUUUAAUUGAUCUGGAAGGAAUAAGGAAGAGGAUAAAAAUUUUUCGUCGCCUUUGCUGAGAGCCGUUGUUGUUGUAAACGGAUUAUAAAAGGGGAGCGAGAAUUUUUUUUUUUUUUUUUACGAGGAAAGUGUACCGUUGUAAAUAAUUUAGGAUUGAAAUUACAGAGCAGCAGAGGAAGGCGGCGGAGAAAUGUGACGGAAUGGAUUCCUUUUUAAUUUUAGACGUCCGCUGGAGCAACAUAUUCACUCGAGUCUUGUUCAUUGAGACGACUAUGCGCAUAUACGUCUUUUUAAGAAGACGAGAACGAUAUUGCUGCAUCGGUACGAAAAUAGAGAAUGAAAAUUUUGCGAUUUGCGUAAGCCACGGAAGAACGACGGAGGCAUAAAAAUUCAUGUGGAACUCAUGGUUUGGAAUCGAGACAAGAUCUUGUUACAAGUAUAAAAUGUUGUAGUACAGCAUAUUGUAUGUAUUGUUGCGUUGCUUCGAUUAAUAGGAAGAUGACGAUUGAAAUUUCGAUCGUUCAAAAUGAUGAUCGUGAAAAAAUUUCAAAAUUUAAAAAAUUCGUGAAUCACUCGUGCUUGAAUCUUUAACACUAUAAUUCUAAGAUUGUGAAUAGGUUUGAAUUAAUCGCGAAUUAUAAAGUGAUUACAAAAUUUCUUAUAUUCAUGUUAAAACGCUGCUCAAUUUCUUUGUAACUGCAUAGAUUUCAAAUUUUGAUCGCAUAUUAUAUUCAAAUCGAACGGUUAGUUUUCUGGGUGCAUGAUGUAAUUAUUUUGAAUAGAAAUCCAGCAGCACAUAAAAUCGCAUAACAUUGACCGAUUCGUCUGUUAAAUGCUAAAACGCGAAUCGAACGAAGAAGUAGAAAACUGGUUGCGCGUUAAAACCCAAGACUUUAUAUCUUUUCUCGAAAGAUUCCAUCAAUAAUGACAAACGUUGGUCACGAUUUGUAAUAAAAUAUUUAAUAAGAUGAUUGUUACUGAUAAUAAUCGUUACCGAAUAAUAAGGAUUGGAUAAUCCGACUCACGCAAGAAUCAAAGAGUUAUCUGGAGAAUGUAGUUCGAGAUUUGGAGAAGAUCCAAAAUAUAUGCAACUGAGUAAUAUGUUGCAUUAAAUCUUGUAAACUAUUAUUUAUUAUUGAACAGAGCAAUUGUCGAAUGUUUAAUCUAGCUGUUGAAGAAUUUUAAGUUUUGGUAGGCUCUAAUUUUCUAAUGUUUCCUAUGUAAUAAUCGAAUCGCAGUUUAUUCAAAGAAUAUUGUGAAAAUUACGCGAAUAUCACGUGGCGACAUAAAUCAAACAAGGAAACUGAUAUGUUUUUGCCAAAUGCAUAGCUACAAUUGCGCCAAUAUGAGUUUCUCACGUUAUAACAGCCUUGCAAAAUUAUUCCGUAAUAUACACAUACUAAAUGCUUUAAUAAACAUAAAUUUAUAAAUCUUUCAUUCCUAAGACAUAAGGAUUUUAAAUAUUAUAUUUCAACAAAUAUUAUAUAAUUUAAGUUACGAAUUAUAUUAUACAAAAUAUAACAACUCUAAUGCAACAAAAUGCAAAUGAUAAUAGCAUAGUAUGAUAUAAAUGAAUGUUUGCAUUUUCACUUCUGCAUAAGAAUAGAAUAUACAAUUUGGCGAGAGAUUUUCUUUCGACGGGUUAUACGUUGGCAUGUGUCCAAGUUAAACAAGCAAAUAAAGCAUUAGAAUGGCCGUGUUGGACUGCAUAUAAUGGAUUACAAUCUGCGAUCCGUUAUAAUUCGUCAUCAGUAAUAGAAUCAGUUUAAUUAAUUCGAACGAAAAUAUUCAGUUGCCGCAAACGACGGUAAAUUAUAACUCGAACUGUUGUAAUACAAAUAUUGUCGAUCCACGUAAUAAUAAUUUUCAAUCAUGAAAUUCUUUCCAUAAGCGUUUGAUCUUCUUCGUUGUAUUUUUUGGGAAAUUUGAUAUUAUUAAUCAUUUUCAUAUCUAAAUA